AAGAUUAUACUUCACAGAAUCAUUUCUGUAGUAUAUCUUCCUUUCUCUCUACUCAACAGUAGAAUAGAAAACACCACGAUGAUGAGGAUUAAUCCUCUUCUCUGAGCGUGAGGCAGACUUCAGGUGAACUUGUCAGAGUUUUCUGAGUCAUCGAUGAUCGUUCACUGUUCCUUCGGGUUCAGGAUGGGAAGAGGAUAAUCUGAGUGGC
Molecule: small nucleolar RNA, 208 nt
Organism: Thrips palmi
Lineage: Eukaryota; Metazoa; Arthropoda; Insecta; Thysanoptera; Thripidae
Product: small nucleolar RNA U3
Exons: 1
Source: RefSeq, a predicted model, not a curated record